UUUGCCCUACGGGAGGCAGCAGUGGGGAAUAUUGCGCAAUGGGCGAAAGCCUGACGCAGCGACGCCGCGUGAGGGAUGAAGGUCUUCGGAUCGUAAACCUCUGUCAGCAGGGAAGAACGGUCACUGUGCUAAUCAGCAGUGAAUUGACGGUACCUGCAAAGGAAGCAUCGGCUAACUCCGUGCCAGCAGCCGCGGUAAUACGGAGGAUGCGAGCGUUAUCCGGAUUUAUUGGGUUUAAAGGGUGCGCAGGCGGCGUGUCAAGCAAGCGGUAAAAUAGCGGGGCUCAACCCCGUCGAGCCGUUUGA
Molecule: ribosomal RNA, 305 nt
Filed under: uncultured bacterium
Lineage: Bacteria
Description: bacterial SSU rRNA
Rfam family: Bacterial small subunit ribosomal RNA
Source: RNAcentral